UCUUCGAUACGGCAACCAGCAUCACUAACCACUAACCCGGUUGAGCCGCUGGAUUUUCAAACAGACUUUACUUAUGUUCAAAAAAUCAUGUUAAUUCAACUAUUACGUAUCUUCAAACGGACGAUACUCAUGCUUGUGUUUGACGUUUAACUACCGACCAUCUGUAGCACCACAGGUUGCCUCUUCAAUCUAUAAUGCAAUCCUACUAACGCCCUAGUAAAGCCAUGCACUUCCCUUUUACAACCUUUAUAAUCUCCUAGUGCAGCCUCGUGGGGCUCCAGGGAGCUUUUGCUGUAGUUAGAUGAAGACGUGGAACACAUACCUGUUUACCUCUGUUAUACACCAGGCGUUCCAGUCCUCCGUAACCUACCUACCUCUUUGAAACUUUGGCAACCAUUCUUGCAUGAAGUUAAUGAACGAGACAACAACAACCAGAGACAUUCAUUAUGUUUAUGAGACUGGUGGAAAGAUUCAAAUUCGAUGAUCUGGACAUCAAUGAAGAUAGGUUUUCGGAAUCUUUCAAAAAUUUUCUAUGGAGUAAUUAGAAAAGUAUUAUUAAAAACAGGAACACUUCUUCAGUCAUCUGAUUCGAGACUACACCGCCUGUGAAAUUUUUUCCUUCAAUCUUCUUUGAACAACCUUAUUUGUCAAGAGAAAAGAACAUCGGAAGCAAAGACAUUUCUAGGAAACAAAAAACCAAAGCGAUAGAAAAGUAAAAGAAAAGGGCAAAAAAUUGGAUAACUAAAAAGAUCAGUUCAAAAAUACUUUUUUUAAUCCAACAGGUGGAGCAUACAACCUUGUUUUCCUGUAUUGAUCAAACCGCCAUAAGUAUUCUGAUUGGAAGAGAUAAACGAAACUGUCACUAUAAAAAGAAAGAAGAGGGCGAUGUCCAAAGAACCUCCUUGAUAACCUCUCUCGAGUAAAGUGAAUGUUUAGAAUUUUAUUUCAAAUACCUGAAAUAAAAUACAAUAGAAUUGUACUACAGGAACAGUUUCCCUUCUUAGAAUCUUUAAAAAUUUCUUUCAUAUUAUCUCCAAAAGUUGAAGGUUAGAAUGUAAACGUUAAUUCCAGUAUUGUGGAUAAUAACAUGCAAGAAUGUAGAGUUAUAUGAAAUUUAUUAUAAAUUUAUCAUAUUCCAUAAAAGUUAUCAAUAUCAUAUGUAUUGAACUGUUGCCUUUAAUGUUUUUAACUUAUUUUGGAUGUUUAUAUCUACAAAGAUGUGCUAUAAAUUUGAAUUUGCAGAAUUUAGUUUAUUGUUCCAGUUACCAGUAAACUGCAUAUAAAAUUGUAGAAGUAAAACCACGGUUUGUUGCUAUCUGUUCUCCUUUUAUUUUUAUUUCUUAAACAU
Molecule: long non-coding RNA, 1348 nt
Organism: Stegodyphus dumicola
Lineage: Eukaryota; Metazoa; Arthropoda; Arachnida; Araneae; Eresidae
Source: RefSeq, a predicted model, not a curated record